AUUGAACGCUGGCGGCAGGCCUAACACAUGCAAGUCGAGCGAGCGGCGGACGGGUGAGUAAUGUCUGGGAAACUGCCUGAUGGAGGGGGAUAACUACUGGAAACGGUAGCUAAUACCGCAUACCAUCAGAUGUGCCCAGAUGGGAUUAGCUGGUAGGUGGGGUAACGGCUCACCUAGGCGACGAUCCCUCGCUGGUCUGAGAGGAUGACCAGCCACUCGGGGACUGGUGCACGGUCCAGACUCCUACGGGGGGCAGCAGGGGGGAAUUUUGCACAAUGGGCGCAAGCCUGAUGCAGCCAUGCCGCGGUUGGGAAGAAGGCCUUCGGGUUGUAAAGCACUUUCAGCGGGGAGGCGUUACCCGCAGAAGAAGCACCGGCUAACUCCGUGCCAGCAGCCGCGGUAAUUC
RNAcentral lists this ribosomal RNA (406 nucleotides) under uncultured bacterium. Its description in RNAcentral is "partial 16S ribosomal RNA". It matches the Rfam family "Bacterial small subunit ribosomal RNA", at positions 29 to 526 of the family's 1533-position model. The record is from RNAcentral.